Molecule: ribosomal RNA, 668 nt
Filed under: uncultured Rhizobiaceae bacterium
Lineage: Bacteria; Pseudomonadati; Pseudomonadota; Alphaproteobacteria; Hyphomicrobiales; Rhizobiaceae
Description: bacterial SSU rRNA
Rfam family: Bacterial small subunit ribosomal RNA
Source: RNAcentral
GUGGCAGACGGGUGAGGAACGCGUGGGAACGUACCCCAAAGUUCGGAAUAACUAUUGGAAACGAUAGCUAAUACCGGAUGUGACCGAGAGGUUAAAGGUUUACCGCUUUGGGAGCGGCCCGCGUUAGAUUAGCUAGUUGGUGGGGUAAAGGCCUACCAAGGCAAUGAUCUAUAGCUGGUCUGAGAGGAUGACCAGCCACACUGGGACUGAGACACGGCCCAGACUCCUACGGGAGGCAGCAGUGGGGAAUAUUGGACAAUGGGGGCAACCCUGAUCCAGCAAUGCCGCGUGAAUGAUGAAGGCCUUAGGGUUGUAAAGUUCUUUUAUUGAUGACGAUAAUGACGGUAAUCAAUGAAUAAGCACCGGCUAACUUCGUGCCAGCAGCCGCGGUAAUACGAAGGGUGCUAGCGUUGUUCGGAAUGACUGGGCGUAGAGGGUGCGUAGGCUGCCAGAAGCGUCUGAUGUGAAAUCCCUGGGCUUAACCUAGGAACUGCAUUGGAUACGGUCUGGCUAGAGUCCGCGAGAGGAAGAUGGAAUUGUGCGUGUAGAGGUGAAAUUCGUAGAUAUGCACAAGAACACCGGUGGCGAAGGCGAUCUUCUGGAGCGGUACUGACGCUAAGGCACGAAAGUGUGGGGAGCAAACAGGAUUAGAUACCCUGGUAGUCCAC